AUAACGGUCCUAAGGUAGCGAAAUUCCUUGUCAGGUAAGUUCUGACCCGCACGAAAGGUGUAACGAUUUGGGCGCUGUCUCGGCAGCAGACUCGGUGAAAUCUUAGUACCUGUGAAAAUGCAGGUUACCCGCAACUAGACGGAAAGACCCCAUGGAGCUUUACUGCAGCCUGAUAUUGAAUUCUGGUCAUACAUGUACAGGAUAGGUGGGAGACAAAGAGACGUGCACGCCAGUGUACGAGGAGUCGACGUUGGGAUACCACUCUUGUGUGACCGGGGUUCUAACCUGGUAUCGAGAACAGGUACGGGGAGAGUGUCAGGUGGGCAGUUUGACUGGGGCGGUCGCCUCCCAAAGAGUAACGGAGGCGCCCAAAGGUUCCCUCAGAAUGGUUGGAAAUCAUUCAAAGAGUGCAAAGGCAGAAGGGAGCUUGACUGCGAGACGGACAGGUCGAGCAGGAACGAAAGUUGGGCUUAGUGAACCGGCUGUGCUGAAUGGAAAGGCAGUCGAUCAACGGACAAAAGCUACCCUGGGGAUAACAGGCUGAUCUCCCCCAAGAGUUCACAUCGACGGGGAGGUUUGGCACCUCGAUGUCGGCUCGUCGCAUCCUGGGGCUGGAGAAGGUCCCAAGGGUUGGGCUGUUCGCCCAUUAAAGCGUCACGCGAGCUGGGUUCAGAACGUCGUGAGACAGUUCGGUCCCUAUCUGUCGUGGGCGUAGGAAAUUUGAAGGGAGUCGUCCCUAGUACGAGAGGACCAGGAUGAACGUACCGCUGGUGAAUCAGUUGGCCUGCCAGGGCCACAGCUGGGUAGCUACGUACGGACGGGAUAAACGCUGAAAGCAUCUAAGCGUGAAGCCCCCCCUGAGAUGAGAUUUCCCAUUAGAAAUAAGUAAGACCCCUUAGAGAUGAUGAGGUAGAUAGGUCAGAGAUGUAAGCACUGUGAGGUGUUGAGUUGACUGAUACUAAUAGGUCGAGGACUUAACCUU
This 982-nucleotide ribosomal RNA is filed under the name human gut metagenome. RNAcentral's name for it is "bacterial LSU rRNA". It matches the Rfam family "Bacterial large subunit ribosomal RNA", at positions 1942 to 2925 of the family's 2925-position model. The record is from RNAcentral.